AAAAAUUCAUCAGUGCUUGAGAAAGUGGUUGUUGGAGUUUGAUAGGUGAAGAUACUCCCAAAGCAUUUACACGGCACUUGUACAGAGCACAGACGUUGUUGUUGUAAAUGUUUUUCGAGUAUCUUCUCCUAUAAACUUCAAAAUCUGGAUCCCACAAGACACGGUAUUUGACAAAUCUGAAGACGCUUGAUCUCAGCUUCUCCAAAAUAUUGAUACAAACACCAAAUUUCAAAGGAAUGCCAAAUUUGGAGACUUUGCAUCUGAAGGGAUGUAUAAAUCUUGAAGAGAACACUAUCCUUGGGAUAUUGCAAAAAGCUCAUUUUCUUAAAUUUGAAGGAAUGUUAGAGCCUUAAGAGGCUUCCAAGUAGUUUUCACGCGGCUUGCAAUUUGAAGUUCUGGAAACUAGUCCAAGUUGAUUGAAAAUUGUUUGAGCUGACUAACAGGUAAGUUAGCUCAAAAAUCCUGAAACACCUAUUCACCCUCCUCUGGUAUUUUUAUUAAUUGAUUGUUAUGGAUAUAUGUUUGAAAGUCUCUGAAUUCCGAACAGAGCUGAUAACUCUGUUA
Lycium ferocissimum is the source of this 564-nucleotide long non-coding RNA. RefSeq lists it as uncharacterized. The record is from RefSeq and is a predicted model, not a curated record. The transcript is spliced from 3 exons. Lineage: Eukaryota; Viridiplantae; Streptophyta; Magnoliopsida; Solanales; Solanaceae.